GUGUUGGUGGUUCAGUGGUAGAAUUUUUGCCUCUCUUGCAGAAGACCCAGGUUCGAUUCCUAGCCGAUGCA
Non-coding RNA from Trichechus manatus latirostris (Florida manatee), 71 nucleotides. The record is from the annotation of a RefSeq genome assembly. NCBI's taxonomy places the organism in Eukaryota, Metazoa, Chordata, Mammalia, Sirenia, Trichechidae.